This 294-nucleotide non-coding RNA is filed under the name Pan troglodytes (chimpanzee). Lineage: Eukaryota; Metazoa; Chordata; Mammalia; Primates; Hominidae. The record is from RNAcentral.
AGGAAGACGUGAUCCAGGCAACAGGAUAUUCCAGUAUAGACACUCCAGGAAAAACAAAAUCUUUUAAUCAGCAAAAUCCAUCAUAUUACUUAAGUCACAGAUGCUCACCAAGGAGAAGAGGUCAUUCUGUAAUCCAAGUCGAUCCACAGGGGGCAGAGAAAGGUCACGAAUGCCUGGUAAUAAACUUUCCAGCAUGGCAGAGCUGUACUGGGUCCGAUAAAACCCAACUGUUCCUAAGUUUAACUGCAAAGAUAUCCAGUAAGUACUAUUAAACAGCUCCAUUAAUUUUUUAAA